Molecule: ribosomal RNA, 353 nt
Filed under: uncultured bacterium
Lineage: Bacteria
Description: bacterial SSU rRNA
Rfam family: Bacterial small subunit ribosomal RNA
Source: RNAcentral
AUUGAACGCUGGCGACAUGCCUAACACAUGCAAGUCUAGGGUGUAGCAAUACACACUGGCGCACGGGUGAGUAACGCGUAGAUCAUCUGCCCCUAUCACCGACAUAACUCUUGGAAACGGGAGCUAAUAUCGGAUGAGGUGAGCAAUCAUCAAAGUUUCGACGGAUAGGGAUGAGUCUGCGUCUGAUUAGGUAGUUGGUGAGGUAAUGGCUCACCAAGCCUACGAUCAGUAGCUGGUCUGAGAGGACGAACAGCCACACUGGAACUGAGACACGGUCCAGACUCCUACGGGAGGCAGCAGUGAGGAAUAUUGGUCAAUGGGAGCAAUCCUGAACCAGCAAUGCCGCGUGUGGG